This 301-nucleotide ribosomal RNA is filed under the name uncultured bacterium. RNAcentral describes it as "partial 16S ribosomal RNA". It matches the Rfam family "Bacterial small subunit ribosomal RNA", at positions 509 to 808 of the family's 1533-position model. The record is from RNAcentral.
CAGCAGCCGCGGUAAAACAGAGGGUGCGAGCGUUAAUCGGAUUUACUGGGCGUAAAGCGUGCGUAGGCGGCUUCUUAAGUCGGAUGUGAAAUCCCUGAGCUUAACUUAGGAAUUGCAUUCGAUACUGGGAAGCUAGAGUAUGGGAGAGGAUGGUAGAAUUCCAGGUGUAGCGGUGAAAUGCGUAGAGAUCUGGAGGAAUACCGAUGGCGAAGGCAGCCAUCUGGCCUAAUACUGACGCUGAGGUACGAAAGCAUGGGGAGCAAACAGGAUUAGAUACCCCGUAGUCCCUGUCUCUUAUACA